GGUUGUCAAUCCAAAUGGGUGUGA
This 24-nucleotide non-coding RNA is filed under the name Arabidopsis thaliana (thale cress). The record is from RNAcentral. Lineage: Eukaryota; Viridiplantae; Streptophyta; Magnoliopsida; Brassicales; Brassicaceae.